GCCAGCAGCCGCGGUAACACCGGCGGCCCGAGUGGUGAUCGUGAUUAUUGGGUCUAAAGGGUCCGUAGCCGGUUUGGUCAGUCCUCCGGGAAAUCUGAUAGCUCAACUAUUAGGCUUUCGGGGGAUACUGCCAGACUUGGAACCGGGAGAGGUAAGAGGUACUACAGGGGGUAGGAGUGAAAUCUUGUAAUCCCUGUGGGACCACCUGUGGCGAAGGCGUCUUACCAGAACGGGUUCGACGGUGAGGGACGAAAGCUGGGGGCACGAACCGGAUUAGAUACCCGGGUAGUCCCAGCCGUAAACGAUGCUCGCUAGGUGUCAGGCAUGGCGCGACCGUGUCUGGUGCCGCAGGGAAGCCGUGAAGCGAGCCACCUGGGAAGUACGGCCGCAAGGCUGAAACUUAAAGGAAUUGGCGGGGGAGCACAACAACGGGUGGAAGCCUGCGGUUUAAUUGGACUCAACGCCGGACAACUCACCGGGGGCGACAGCAAUAUGUAGGCCAAGCUGAAGACUUUGCCUGAAUCGCUGAGAGGAGUGGUGCAUGG
This 545-nucleotide ribosomal RNA is filed under the name uncultured archaeon. RNAcentral describes it as "bacterial SSU rRNA". It matches the Rfam family "Archaeal small subunit ribosomal RNA", at positions 457 to 997 of the family's 1478-position model. The record is from RNAcentral.